UUGAACGCUGGCGGAAUGCUUUACACAUGCAAGUCGAGCGGCAGCGCGGGGGCAACCCUGGCGGCGAGCGGCGAACGGGUGAGUAACAUAUCGGAACGUACCCAGACGUGGGGGAUAACACAUCGAAAGAUGUGCUAAUACCGCAUACGACCUGAGGGUGAAAGGGGGGGAUCGCAAGACCUCUCGCGUUUGGAGCGGCCGAUAUCGGAUUAGCUAGUUGGUGAGGUAAAGGCUCACCAAGGCGACGAUCCUUAGCUGGUCUGAGAGGAUGAUCAGCCACACUGGGACUGAGACACGGCCCAGACUCCUACGGGAGGCAGCAGUGGGGAAUAUUGGACAAUGGGCGCAAGCCUGAUCCAGCCAUGCCGCGUGAGUGAAGAAGGCCUUCGGGUUGUAAAGCUCUUUCAGACGGAAAGAAAUCGGGCGGGUGAAUAGCCUGCCUGGAUGACGGUACUGUCAGAAGAAGCACCGGCUAACUACGU
RNAcentral lists this ribosomal RNA (482 nucleotides) under uncultured bacterium. RNAcentral describes it as "bacterial SSU rRNA". It matches the Rfam family "Bacterial small subunit ribosomal RNA", at positions 29 to 506 of the family's 1533-position model. The record is from RNAcentral.